GUUUUGGAGUUUAUUAAUCUGCUGCUCAUUUUCGAAAAUGCCAUCAGCAUCUUUCCUGUAACAUGUAGAGGGCCCCCUCCUUUGGAAACUGCGGUGUAUGGCUGGCAGGUGCAAUUGUUUGACCAUUUCUGAGUAGCGCUCAUUUCUGCAGGCUUCUGCCAGUUUGGAGCUGUCACAAGCAAGGCUGCCGGGGGCCUCUUUGCUCCUUUAUGUUUGGACACCAAUGGUUGCUUUGCUGUAGGAAAGACGAGAUUGCUGGUGAGACAGCAGCCACUGCUCCCAGGCCCGACAACAGGGGCAGCACCAAAGCUGGUCAGUGUUUCCUCCUUACAGGUCUGAAGGUGCUGCAGAGGAGGGUGCUUCCCAGAGAUCACCCCUGUGACAGACAGAUCGAUUGAAGGACCCCUGAAUGGCUGAAUUGAGAAGAACAAGCAUAUUAGGAGGCCAUACAAUGGGAGCCUCUCAGGCAGACAGACAAAGCCGUGGAAACUGCAGACUUAUUUGUAUGUUCUGGUAAACACCUUUGCUUCAUUUUCCCCGUCUCCGCCUGGACUGAGGGUCACCUCACCUCUCCUGGUGUCCAGAGCCUCCUUCAGGACAGAUGUUGCAAACCUGAGUUCUCACAAACAGCGGGGUCCAGCCCUUCUCAACACUGGAAAGCCCUUGAGCCAUCUUUGAUUUGUGUGUUUUGAUCUAAUUGCACUACUGCUUGCAAUGCUUGUUUUUAGCGGUGAGUGCUGGUUUAAUUUGUUUCUUUCUGGUCUCCCAGCCCCACUCCAGAAUUUUGGCUCCUGGAGAGGAGGGGCCCUGAACUGGCAUUUUCAGUGAAGCAUCCCAGUGCCUUGAAUCCAGUAAGCAGCCAGGUGUCUGUUGGCUUCAUGGUUUAACAACCUACCAUUUGAAGAAUCGCAGAGAUGAAUUAAAAAGAGCCCCGGAGAGGCUCCCCGAUCCAGUUGCACUUCCUGCUUAAGCAAAGUAAAGAAAAACAGGAAUGAAAACAUAACCCAAUGGGUUAGUUCCAUGCUGGCCAUUGAUGAGGUUGCAGCCACCAUCAGAAGAAGGCCAAACGGUUAGAAAGACACGGCGGUGAGGAAGAUGAGCCUCAUUAUCGACUGUCACCUGCAGCCCUGCACAGGUGCUCAGAAUCUAACACUUGAUGGCUGGUUGAGAUUCCCGGAGUCCUAAUUAGGAAUGAGGAGUCAGGCUGGCAGGACCCAGGGAAAGCAAAAAGAGAAGGCAGAGAAGCUCCAAGUCUGCCUGUCUUCGUGAUCCAGAACACGUAGUCCUGCUGCACAAGUAACUCACAAUCUUCCUGUGUCCAGCUGUCAUUAGACCCUUGGCUGAUAGAAAAAUGCAAGUUAGCACACUGCAGCCUCGGUGUCGUCAGUACUGCACGUCACUCUCUCCAGCACACCGCGGCCUCGGCGUCAUCAGCACUGCACGUCGCUCUCUCCAGCACACCGCGGCCUCGGCGUCGUCAGCACUGCACGUCGCUCUCUCCAGCACACCGCGGCCUCAGCGUCAUCAGCACUGCACGUCGCUCUCUCCAGCACACCGCGGCCUCGGCGUCGUCAGCACUGCACGUCGCUCUCUCCAGCACACCGCGGCCUCGGUGUUGUCAGUACUGCACGUCGCUCUCUCCAGCACACAGCACAAGCACCAUCCUAUCAAGUCCCCAGCAAGCCUUUGUCUCCUUGCAGUCAGCUCCUCUCUUGCUGGCCUGCCUGUUGCCUCCUUGCUGUGUAUUUUCCUACUUUCUCUAAUUUGCCUUUUUUUUUUAUUUUUGAGAUGAAAUUUUGCCUCAGCCUCCCAA
RNAcentral lists this long non-coding RNA (1813 nucleotides) under Homo sapiens (human). RNAcentral describes it as "HSALNT0387665". The record is from RNAcentral. Lineage: Eukaryota; Metazoa; Chordata; Mammalia; Primates; Hominidae.